GUAAAUAUAGUCUAAAAAAAGAUAUUAGAUUGUGAAUCUAAUGACAAAAGCUCAAACCUUUUUAUUUACC
RNAcentral lists this transfer RNA (70 nucleotides) under Leptonychotes weddellii (Weddell seal). It matches the Rfam family "tRNA". From Rfam's summary of the family: Transfer RNA (tRNA) molecules are approximately 80 nucleotides in length. Their secondary structure includes four short double-helical elements and three loops (D, anti-codon, and T loops). Lineage: Eukaryota; Metazoa; Chordata; Mammalia; Carnivora; Phocidae. The record is from Rfam by way of RNAcentral.